RNAcentral lists this ribosomal RNA (117 nucleotides) under Kapaibacterium sp. (SeqCode). The record is from RNAcentral. Lineage: Bacteria; Pseudomonadati; Bacteroidota; Eximiradiia; Eximiradiales; Kapaibacteriaceae (SeqCode).
CUUGGUGGCUCUAUCGCGGGGGAAACACCUCUUCCCAUCCCGAACAGAGUAGUUAAGACCCGUUGAGCCAAUGGUACUGCACCGGUAACAGUGUGGGAGAGUAGGUCGCCGCCAAGU